RNAcentral lists this long non-coding RNA (1152 nucleotides) under Manacus vitellinus (golden-collared manakin). Its description in RNAcentral is "lncRNA (ENSMVIG00005008246.1)". The record is from RNAcentral. Lineage: Eukaryota; Metazoa; Chordata; Aves; Passeriformes; Pipridae.
GGGAGUUGCUGUUGUGCAAGGCACUGCACAAACACCUACCAAAGUCAGUCCUGGCUCCUAACACUGGAUGUGAGCUGAGGAAAAGCAGAUGAGGUGGGUGGGCAAGAAAUGCAAGGAAAGCAAGAUAAUGCUGGAUACCACAAUGAGCUGCCAACCCUUGCCAAAAAUUCUUUCUGCAUCAAAGGAGGUGAGCAGGAAAAUGCUGAAGGUAGAUAAGGUGGCUUUUUGCAUUGCUUUUUUAGUGUUUACAGGAAUCUGCAACACCUCAUUUGGCUCCCACACCACCACCUCUCUAAUGGAUGUACCUGGUACUGUGAGCAGAGUAACACAACCUCAGCCUCAGUAUGUGGGAGAGUUUCGGUCCGGGGGAAAUAAUAAUAAUAAAAAAUAUUGGCGUAGAAACGUGCGAAUUAGAGGCUUGUCUAACGCCUGUCUUCUAAGCCCAGCAGCCACUCAGUGGUGUGAUGAUGUGCUGCACGUAUUUACCUACCACGGGGAACCGCUGCCUUCCAGCUUUAUAAAAUCACACCGAAAACUACUGAGGAAGCUCAAAGACUUUUCUUCCACAGUGGUCACACGUAUUCCUCAUGCAGCAGACUUCACAUUUAGACAAAAAAAAAAAAAAAAAAAAAGGCCGGAGAAGCAGCAAGUGGUUCACGUAAAACCCAGCACGGCGCACCUCCCGCGCGCUAAACCACACACGCUCUUAGGUGGGGCCGAACGCCCAAAACCAAACUGCAGCUACAAAGGGCGAAUUCAAACAACGCAAAAAAUUAAUUCGUUAACUUCACCCCCUGUGAAACUCGACCCCGACACUGUUACCAGCAGGAUCAGCUGUAUUCACCAGGGCGAGGGUGUUGUUCUGGCGAGGAGCUACUGGUGCUCGCGAGGGCCUGCGGGACAAGACUUCAACUUACAGUACUUCAGAAAACCAGUAAAAUCCACAGCAAAAUUCCAGGAUCCACAGUUUUUUCUCAACACUGCUGAGGAGAAGACAAGUAUGAUGCUUCUUGUUACUUCCAUUUUUUUGCAUUGUCAUCUCAUCCAGUUUUAAACAACAAGGGACAGAUCUGGAAGCCCGAUUCCUAUAAAGUUUAUUUGUUAAGCACAGGAAAAAAUAAAACUCAAACAAAAAACUAAUUUUUUUUUUUU